Molecule: long non-coding RNA, 1341 nt
Organism: Chinchilla lanigera (long-tailed chinchilla)
Lineage: Eukaryota; Metazoa; Chordata; Mammalia; Rodentia; Chinchillidae
Exons: 4
Source: RefSeq, a predicted model, not a curated record
CUGGUGGCUGACUGGGAAAAUCCGAUUGGGGAGGAGCUGAUUCAGCAAGGGUAGGAGGGUCAGAAAACCUGAGGGCUACUAAGGCUACAGCUCAAAAAGUCCGAGGUGUCUGUGACACACUAGCAAAGAUAUACUGGGCAGAAAAGUCAAGGCCAAGGAGAAAUGCCCGGAAUCUUCAGCAUGGAAGGCGUGCUGUGCUGAAUACAGGCAGGAUCUCUGGGGAGUAGGUGCCACAGAAAAGAGGACCAAGGACAAAGCUGGCGAAGGCAAGAAAAGGUCAAGAACAAGCGCACUUCCAGGAAGGGAGAGGAUGAAGAACAGAGAGGACAGUUUAGGGCCAAAGGAAACGGGGAAAAGAGGAGCAACCACAGGACCCGCUGCUCCCUGCCGUAGGGUGCCGGGUUUAGCAAAUGCAAGCGUAAUGAGCAGUGAGAACGGAACUUCAGACGGAUAGCACGUACUUUUUAGAGUACUUUCUCAGUGCUGUAUCUGGGGCAUACAUUUUCCCAAUUCUUCAUUAUGUAUCUGAAAUUCGAUAAAGACAGAUGGCGCAAGAACGCCAACUCCUAAAAUAAACCUGAGCUUUUUACACUCGGCCGGUCUGGAUGGACGUCACCCGGGGAGAAGCUGACUCGACCCUAACCGGAUAUCGUUACUGAAGAAACAGCCCCUGAGAACCCGGGAGAAAUGCGUUGGAUUUUAUCAUUUGGAAGUGUGUACUGAUCCUUUCUGGCUGACUUCAACAAAGAAGAAACACUUGAUUUUGGCUGCUGAUAAAGUAAUCAAUAUAUGAAGGAUACAAUUUUCCGAUCAAAAUUUCUGAUUGGACAUGUAUUGGCUACCCUGAGAGAGAUGAAAAUUGCUACAGCAACAGAAGUAAUUAUCAGCAUCUUGUCAUCUUGUGACCAUAAGGAAGUUUAGUCCAAAGACACAGUCAGCAUCCUGGAGAUGGUAAGGCCGAGAUACAGACAGACCUCGGAUCCCACAUGACAUCUCUGAGCUCCUGAACGUACCAACCAACUUCACAGACCUUUUGGAAUAGAAAAUCUCUCUGAUCAAACCAGAAAGAGUAAACAUGAGGAGGACGCACCUCAUCUCAUAGACACACCCUCUGUCCUGGAAGAUCUCUGAAAGAAUGUACUUAUUUUUAAAUAUCUCAGCAUCUUUCACUAAAGAGAUACAUACGGUUAAACCCCAGCUCAGCAGCUAAUAACAUGACCUUCACAUCUUUUUAUCUUUGUCUGCAAGAUGAGUGUGUUGGGUUUUCUAAGGCAUCUUCCUCAUUUAUAAGUUAAAGUUUAUUUACACGGACUGGACAUUUAUUUCACUUGGUAUCUCCUU